Molecule: non-coding RNA, 1808 nt
Organism: Microcebus murinus (gray mouse lemur)
Lineage: Eukaryota; Metazoa; Chordata; Mammalia; Primates; Cheirogaleidae
Source: RefSeq, a predicted model, not a curated record
GAGAUAUGAUUUGAAAAUAUUUUUCCCAUUAUGGGUGGGUUGUCUUCUGGCAUUCUUGAUGGUGUCCUUUGAAGAACAAAGGUUUUAAAAUUUUGAUGAAGUCAAGUUUAUCUAUUUUUUUCACUUAUCACUUAUGACUUUGGUGUCACAUCUAAGACAUCAUUGCCUAAUCCAACAUCACAGAUUUACUUCUUUGCUUUCCUCUAAGAGUUUUAUAGUUUUAGUUCUUACAUUUAUGUCUAUGAUCAAUUUGGAGUUAAUUUUUGUGUAUGGUGCAAGGAAAAGGUCCAACUUUAUUGUUUGGCAUGUGAACAUCAAGUUGUCACUCAUUUUACCUUUUAAAAAUGGAGAUAUAAAAAAAACUAGAACAACUACAUUUUGGUGGGAAAUUUUUGAAUAUUAGUAUGAUUUGAACAGUAUUUAUUUCUGUGGCUUUGCUUAUACCCAAUCAAAUAUACCCAUUCAUCCAAUAAAUACAGAGCAUCUAUUUUGUGGCAGGUGUGUCUAAGCUGAUGGUGAUACAGCACCAUCAAGGACUUGCUAAAUAAAGCAAGUCCUUGCCCUCAUGUAGCUUACAUGCCAGUGACAAAAAUGGGCAUAAGUAAAUAAAUGUGUAAAUAUGUAAUACACAGCAGUAGUCAUAAGUAUUAUGAAGAAAAAGCAGAGUAAAAGGGUAGAGGUGAUAUGGGGCUGGGCAGAGGAUGCUAUUUGAUAUUGGAUGGGAAAAUCAGGAAAGGCCUCUAAAGUGGCUGCAUUUAUUUGGUACCUGAAUUAAAUAAGGGGACAAGCCAUGUAAAUAUCAGGAGGAAGAAUGUUUCAGGCAGAGGGAAGAACAGAUGCCAACAUCAUAGGGCAGGAAUGUGGUAGGGUUCUUCUGGGAAGAGUAAGCAAGGCAGUGAGGCUAGAGUGUGGUCCAUGAGGGGGUGAUGGGUAGAAAAUGAUGUUGAAGAGGUACUCAGAGACCACACCCAUGGGAAAACCAAGAGUUUUCUGAUUUUUCUGUCUGGCAAAGCAUUUUGGCUUACAAUAUUUGCACUGGCCUUGAACAAAAGUCAAUAGCAUUCUUUCUCCUUGAAAUUAGUAUCUGCCUCAAAACUUUUAGUAGGAAAAAAGAAUACAAAUAAAUAUAUGAACAUAAUCGCAUAGAUUUUGGGGAAAAAGAAAACCACCAAAAUAAUUCAACAGGAAAAAGUAAAGACUUUUCAGAGUCCUUCUGUUUGCGUAUGUGAUUUCUAUUAAUUAAACCUCCUUCUUUUUCUUUAAGGUUCGUGGCCAGGUCUUCUGGCUGCCCCCCAAAAUCUGCUCUCCCCGGCAACUUAGUACUAGGGAGCAGCUGCCCAGCCAGAGACCACACUUCCCCUAUUCUCUUGCAGUAGCUGGGGCCACAUGACCAGUUCUCACCAAUUGGAAUGUGAGCGGAAGUGAUUCCUACCGUUUCGGAGCGCUGGUCUACUCUUCCCUUUCUGCUAGCUGGAUGCAGAGGGUGACGAGGCUGUAUGAGGUGGUUUAGCUACAAAUUAGAAGCAGCCUGGAUCCCUGAAUCAGUAUGUGAAGAAGAGCUUCCCAAUGACCCAGAAAUGCUUGCCUUGGACUAUUAUAAAACCUACCAGAUCCAGCUGGAGUUCCCAGAAGAAUUCCAGAAGAAAUAUUUCAGGAGAUCCAUAUACUUAUUCUGAGACUGCUGGUGACUGAUAGGCUGUGUAACCUCAGAGAAGUUGCUGUGCUGCUCUGAGCAUCAGCUUCCUAUGAUCUGUAAAGAGAAAGAAACACUUCCAGCUCAAUAAAGGGCUGAUCCUGCUGUAACUGUA